CAGAUGCAGAGGAAUGUAAGAAGAGGGGAUCUAUUGAGACUGCUAGAGCUAUUUAUGCUCAUGCACUAACUGUGUUUUUGACUAAGAAGAGUAUUUGGCUUAAAGCUGCACAGCUUGAGAAGAGUCAUGGGACUAGGGAGUCGCUUGACGCUUUGUUGCGCAAGGCGGUUACUUAUAGGCCACAAGCUGAAGUUCUGUGGCUUAUGGGUGCUAAAGAGAAGUGGCUUGCCGGCGAUGUGCCUGCUGCAAGGGCUAUUCUUCAAGAAGCUUAUGCUGCUAUACCAAACUCUGAGGAAAUUUGGCUUGCAGCGUUUAAGCUUGAAUUUGAGAAUCAUGAACCUGAAAGAGCAAGAAUGCUGCUUGCUAAGGCUAGAGAAAGAGGUGGUACAGAAAGAGGGUGGAUGAAGUCUGCCAUUGUUGAGAGAGAGUUGGGCAAUACUGAGGAGGAGAGGAGGUUAGUGGAUGAAGGUU
Molecule: unclassified non-coding RNA, 471 nt
Filed under: Hevea brasiliensis (rubber tree)
Lineage: Eukaryota; Viridiplantae; Streptophyta; Magnoliopsida; Malpighiales; Euphorbiaceae
Source: RNAcentral